This 1504-nucleotide long non-coding RNA is filed under the name Octopus vulgaris (common octopus). Lineage: Eukaryota; Metazoa; Mollusca; Cephalopoda; Octopoda; Octopodidae. The record is from RNAcentral.
ACAGGUGCCAGUAAGGCAAUACUGGUAACGAUCCUGCUCGAAUGGUGCCUUUUACAUGCCACCGGCACCGAAGCCAGUUAGCCACUCUGGCAGCGAUCACGCUCGGAUGGUGCUCUUAGCACCCUGCUAUCACGGGGCACAAGUGCCAGUAAGGCGACACUGGUAACGAUCACACUCGAAUGGUGCCUUUUAUGUGCCACUGGCACAGAAGCCAGUUAGCUGCUCUGUCAACGAUCAUGCUCAUAUGGUGCUCUUUGCACCCCGCUAGCACGGGUGCCUGUCAUCGAAUUUCACUUUGAUUUUGAUUGAUAAAAUAAAUUUCUUGUCAAAUAAUGGGGUUGCUGUAAUCAACACUUCUCUAAAUUGAAAUGGCAAUUUAGUUACAACAAUUUAACUUUUUUCAUUGAAAUUCAGCCAAGACAGAUUUUCCCUUCAUCCUUCUGGGACCAAUGAAUUACUGGAGGAAUCAAUUGAGUCAAUUACACUCCUCCCUAGAAAUGUGUUCUUGUAUCUGUUUAAAAAUAGAAUUACACAUAAAAGUGGUUGAUGACAAUAUUUAGAUAUAUCUAUUUUCUGAGUUCAAAUCUCACCGAGACUCUUUCAGCCUUGCAGGUUGAAAAAAUAGUCACCAGGUCAUAUAUUGCAUCCCAUUUCCUUGGCUUUGUGCCAAGAUACAUACCAGUAAUACACUGAAUUUGGUACACCAUCUUACACAACGCCCUACAUCUAGUUGAAAGAUAUUUUUAUGUUGACAUAGUUUGGAGAGAAGUCCAGUUUUGUGACAAACAAGAAUUAUCAAAUAUUUGCUCCCAUCCCCUAUCUUUUGUAAUAUUUAAGUUCUAAAUAGGUACAACACUGACUUUCCGGACUCUGAUGGUCCAGAACCUCUUGUAAUCCACUCUGCUUUAUGAACAGGAACUUCAAAUUCUCACAGUUGCCAGACUAGCUUACUUGGUAGCUCUAUAUUUCAUUUAAUUAAGUAAAUUUAAUAUUUGUUUAAUAUAGAGGUGACCACCCCUGGUUUGGAAAAAUCAGUCAUCUGAAAGUUUUCAGAAAAUCAAUGUUGUACCGGUAAUAAUAAAAUCAAGCUACAAUGCUUCAUAUAAGUAAAUAAAUACUAAUGUCUUUUAACUGUUUUUGUCCCCCAAAAAUUUCAUAAGGGAAUGAGAUGUGACAUACAUGCUUUUCUCAUAGAUAUUAUUAAUGUUAGUCAGAAACAUAACCAAGAUUGUGGAUAGGAACUCCUUUGGUUUCUAAGUAUAUUUGACUGAGAAUAUAAUUAAAUGAAACAUCUAACAUGACCAAUACAAUACUGACCAGAAUAGCCAAAAUCAGAGAUUUCAUACUGUCCAAACAAAGUUUCUUUACCAACUGUAAAUAAAAUAUGUAAAUUAUUAUUUUAAAGAAAUGAAUCUGAUUUAUUGUUUCAAUCUAAAAACAAAAAAUUUCCUUUUUGAUUUUAGUUUUGUUACCAAACUUUUCCUUAAAUAAAACUGACCAUCUU